UUUUUCAUUGCUUGUUUAUCUGACGAUACAAAUUCAGAGUAUAGACUCCGGCGAGCCCGCGUCGGAAUUGCUUCCAACGGCUGUUUCCAACGUCUCGCCGAAGCAACGUCGAAUUGUCAAGGGUGGGAGUUCCUUUCGGAGUCUCGGUAAUGAUCCUUCCGCAGGUUCACUGUAGAUGUUAGUUGGAGAUCAAAGCAAAGAUAAGGUUACUCACCCUACGGAAA
Molecule: unclassified non-coding RNA, 224 nt
Filed under: uncultured fungus
Lineage: Eukaryota; Fungi
Description: sequence contains ITS1
Source: RNAcentral